CUAGUGAGGGAGUAAAGUUACGAAUUGAGGGGUGUGGCUAGCUAUGUAUAAAGAUUGGUGGUAGGAACGAGAACGGUAGGUGCGUUUGUUUCCAGCCGGCGGGAAUAGAUCGACACUCUUACUGUUUGUUUGCGAGAGGUUCGCGUGUGGAUUUUCUUGGAUCUCGGAGAUGGCUCUAUGGAGCCCAUUGGUUCAUAUGCAAGAGGUUUGCAUGUGCUGUCUUUUGGAUCUUUGACAUAGCUCUAUGGAGCUCAGUUGUUGCUCUUGUUGUAUUUGAGUUUAUUUAUUUUUUUGGUUUGAAUGUGUUGGUUUGGAUAUAUUGUCUAGUCCGCCCAGGUAUUUAGAUCGGUAAUUGGGCUGGAAGAUGUGGUUAUGGCCCUUUGGGCGGACUAGUUUAAUUUGUUUCUUUUUUGUAAUUUGUUUGUUUCCCCCAUUGUUUGUAUACUUUACAAGGACACUAGUCGAGUGUUGGAGCAGAGUUGAGCUAUUUUUGCAUGUAAUUCACUUUGAUGAAUUGUGUGAAUCACAAGGUUUCUUUUUAUGAAUUUAUGUACAGUGUUUUUUUUUUUUUUUUUUUUUUUUUUUUUUUUUGGUGUGGGUUGAUACUCAACUCUUGCUUGGUUACCUCCAUAUAUAGGGUGUCCUGCAUAAUAACUUUGUAAAGCCAUCAAUAAAUCUUGGAUUUAUUUAAACGAACCUGAGUUGUGUUUAUGUAAAGGUGACCCUUGUUACAGUAUGAAUACUUAUCCACUUUUUCAUGAGAAAUGCUGUCCAAAUGUCCUGUUUGUCAUGAUGACGUCUAA
Molecule: long non-coding RNA, 803 nt
Organism: Megalobrama amblycephala (Wuchang bream)
Lineage: Eukaryota; Metazoa; Chordata; Actinopteri; Cypriniformes; Xenocyprididae
Exons: 3
Source: RefSeq, a predicted model, not a curated record